Bactrocera neohumeralis is the source of this 596-nucleotide long non-coding RNA. RefSeq lists it as uncharacterized. The transcript has 2 exons. NCBI's taxonomy places the organism in Eukaryota, Metazoa, Arthropoda, Insecta, Diptera, Tephritidae. The record is from RefSeq and is a predicted model, not a curated record.
UAUUGUCUUUAAGAGCUGCGAGAGUCUGAAGCUUGUUGACAUAAGGCCGCGACUUCAAAAAGCCCCACAAAAAUAAGUCUGGAGCGGUCAAAUCAGUCGAUCUUGCUGGCCAGUGCAAAUCGCCAAAACGGGAGAUUAGGCGCUCGGGAAAUGCAUCCUUCAGCAUAUCGGAUGUGACACGCAGUGUAGCGUACCAUUAUUUAUUUAUGUGUAUUUCGCAUGUAUUUACUACACAAAUGUCUAUGUAAUCAGAACCGGCAUUAGAGGUCAAUUGCAAAAUUUAUAGCAUCUUCUGAUCAACUUCUGACUUUUGCGCCCCCCUGUAUUAUAUAAGGGUGUUGUAAGUGUUUCUGCAAAUUUAGUUCGGAAUUGAACUGGAACAUUAAACAGAAUUUUGGACGUCACAUAUCAUGAUGCGUGUCGCGAAUUAAAUUUUCAUUUGUUCUUUUUGUAUUAUCAAUUAUUCACCAUAUAUGUAUGUACAUAUCAUAUUUACGAAAUGUUUUAUAUCUCAAGCUUCUUUCCUUUGUGACAAAUAUAAAUAUAUAACAAGCCGCUAAUAAAUAUUAAAAAUAUUUGCAUUCUGAUUUCGAAAA